This 81-nucleotide small RNA is filed under the name Staphylococcus aureus. RNAcentral describes it as "5'UTR". The record is from RNAcentral. Lineage: Bacteria; Bacillati; Bacillota; Bacilli; Caryophanales; Staphylococcaceae.
UAUAACAUACUAAACAUCGAAGCAAUACCGUCUAACGUACUACUAAAAAACUUGAGUGAUGGUCAAAAACAAAAGCUUAAA